AGAGUUUGAUCCUGGCUCAGGAUGAACGCUGGCGGCGUGCUUAACACAUGCAAGUCGAACGAAGCACUUUAUUUGAUUUCUUCGGAAUGAAGAUUUAGUGACUGAGUGGCGGACGGGUGAGUAACGCGUGGGCAACCUGCCUCAUACAGGGGGAUAACAGUUGGAAACGACUGCUAAUACCGCAUAAGCGCACAGUACCGCAUGGUACGGUGUGAAAAACUCCGGUGGUAUGAGAUGGGCCCGCGUCUGAUUAGCCAGUUGGCGGGGUAACGGCCCACCAAAGCGACGAUCAGUAGCCGACCUGAGAGGGUGACCGGCCACAUUGGGACUGAGACACGGCCCAAACUCCUACGGGAGGCAGCAGUGGGGAAUAUUGCACAAUGGGGGAAACCCUGAUGCAGCGACGCCGCGUGAGCGAAGAAGUAUUUCGGUAUGUAAAGCUCUAUCAGCAGGGAAGAAGAAUGACGGUACCUGACUAAGAAGCACCGGCUAAAUACGUGCCAGCAGCCGCGGUAAUACGUAUGGUGCAAGCGUUAUCCGGAUUUACUGGGUGUAAAGGGAGCGCAGGCGGAAGGCUAAGUCUGAUGUGAAAGCCCGGGGCUCAACCCCGGUACUGCAUUGGAAACUGGUCAUCUAGAGUGUCGGAGGGGUAAGUGGAAUUCCUAGUGUAGCGGUGAAAUGCGUAGAUAUUAGGAGGAACACCAGUGGCGAAGGCGGCUUACUGGACGAUUACUGACGCUGAGGCUCGAAAGCGUGGGGAGCAAACAGGAUUAGAUACCCUGGUAGUCCACGCCGUAAAC
RNAcentral lists this ribosomal RNA (800 nucleotides) under uncultured bacterium. RNAcentral's name for it is "bacterial SSU rRNA". It matches the Rfam family "Bacterial small subunit ribosomal RNA", at positions 8 to 807 of the family's 1533-position model. The record is from RNAcentral.